GGGUAGUAAAUUUCUCUUAUUUAGUGUGUAUCACUCGAGUUUCUGGCCUGUCCGCUUUUGAUGUUAGGGUAUUGCCUAACAUAGCUAUGACGGGUAACGGGGAAUUAGAGUUCGAUUCCGGAGAGGGAGCCUGGGAAAUAGCUGCCACAUCUAAGGAAGGCAGCAGGCGCGUAAAUUACACAAUUCUAAAGAAGAGAGGUAGUGACAAGAAAUAACAAUGCAAGGCCAAUUUUUGGUUUUGUAAUUGGAAUGGUGGGAAUUUAAAACCUUCUCAGAGUAACAAUUGGAGGGCAAGUCUGGUGCCAGCAAAAACGGUAAUUCCAGCUCCAAUAGCGUAUAUUAAAAUUGUUGCAGUUAAAACGCUCGUAGUUGAAUUUCAAAGAAUCGAUAUUUUAUUGUAACUAUUAUAGGGGAACUAUUUUAGCUUUUCGCUUUAAUACGCUUCCUCUAUUAUUAUGUUCUUUAAAUAACAAAGAUUCUUUUUAAAAUCCCCACUUUUGCUUUUUCUUUUUGGGGAUUUUGUUUCUUUGAGUCAAUUAGAGUGUUCAAAGCAAACAGUUAAAGCAUUUACUGUGUUUGAAUACUAUAGCAUUGAAUAACAAAAUCGGCCAAGCUAAAAUUUUUUGUUAUGUUUUCUUCUUGGGGUAAGUUAGGAUUAAUAUUAAUGGAUUGUGCCCGACACCCUGCGCUGAUCUACUUGGCAUUUUUGACUUUCAUCUAUCUGUCUUUUUUCUUCCUUAAACGUUCUUUUCUAACGG
RNAcentral lists this ribosomal RNA (758 nucleotides) under Plasmodium ovale curtisi. RNAcentral describes it as "SSU rRNA". It matches the Rfam family "Eukaryotic small subunit ribosomal RNA", at positions 260 to 957 of the family's 1831-position model. The record is from RNAcentral. Lineage: Eukaryota; Apicomplexa; Aconoidasida; Haemosporida; Plasmodiidae.